GAAAUGCGAUAAGUAAUGUGAAUUGCAGAAUUCAGUGAAUCAUCGAAUCUUUGAACGCACCUUGCGCUCCUUGGUAUUCCUUGGAGCAUGCCUGUUUGAGUAUCAUGAAAUCUUCAAAGUAAAUCUUUUGUUAACUCAAUUGGUUUCUACUUUGGUAUUGGAGGUCUUUGCAGCUUCACACCUGCUCCUCUUUGUUCAUUAGCUGGAUCUCAGUGUUAUGCUUGGUUCCACUCGGCGUGAUAAGUUAUCUAUCGCUGAGGACACUGUAAAAGGUGGCCAAGGUAAAUGCAGAUGAACCGCUUCUAAUAGUCCAUUGACUUGGACAAUACUUUUAUGAUCUGAUCUCAAAUCAGGUAGGACUACCCGCUGAACUAAGC
This 377-nucleotide unclassified non-coding RNA is filed under the name plant metagenome. RNAcentral describes it as "partial contains 5.8S ribosomal RNA, internal transcribed spacer 2, and large subunit ribosomal RNA". The stretch from base 1 to 105 matches the Rfam family "5.8S ribosomal RNA", at positions 50 to 154 of the family's 154-position model. The record is from RNAcentral.